CAAGUUGGAAUGGUUCUAAAAUAUUCCCAACAGGACGAGGGAGAAAUAACCCUCAAAGGGUCUGGAUUGUAAUUGUAUCUGCACCAGACACUUACCGAAGUU
RNAcentral lists this non-coding RNA (102 nucleotides) under unclassified sequences. RNAcentral's name for it is "Methylobacterium-1 RNA". It matches the Rfam family "Methylobacterium-1 RNA". The record is from RNAcentral. RNAcentral also lists the same sequence under 1 other name.